GGUAGAAUGGCUGAGGUAAGCAGUGGAUUGUAGCUCCAUAGACGGAGGUUUAAGCCCUCCUUCUAUCA
Molecule: transfer RNA, 68 nt
Filed under: Gymnotus sylvius
Lineage: Eukaryota; Metazoa; Chordata; Actinopteri; Gymnotiformes; Gymnotidae
Description: tRNA-Tyr
Rfam family: tRNA
About the family: Transfer RNA (tRNA) molecules are approximately 80 nucleotides in length.
Source: RNAcentral